RNAcentral lists this transfer RNA (73 nucleotides) under Ovis aries (sheep). It matches the Rfam family "tRNA". From Rfam's summary of the family: Transfer RNA (tRNA) molecules are approximately 80 nucleotides in length. The record is from Rfam by way of RNAcentral. Lineage: Eukaryota; Metazoa; Chordata; Mammalia; Artiodactyla; Bovidae.
UCCCUGACGAUCCAGUGGUUAAGACUCAGCACUUUCACUGCUGUGGGCCACGGUUCAAUCCCUGGUCAGGGAA